This 372-nucleotide ribosomal RNA is filed under the name uncultured Actinomycetes bacterium. RNAcentral describes it as "bacterial SSU rRNA". It matches the Rfam family "Bacterial small subunit ribosomal RNA", at positions 958 to 1388 of the family's 1533-position model. Lineage: Bacteria; Bacillati; Actinomycetota; Actinomycetes. The record is from RNAcentral.
AACGCGAAGAACCUUACCAAGGUUUGACAGCCCGGAUGGCCAGAGAUGGGGCGUUGGACUGGGUGACAGGUGGUGCAUGGCUGGAGCGUGGUGAGAUGUUGGGUUAAGCCGCAACGAGCGCAACCCUUGUCACGUUGCCAGCAACGCUGGGGUGGUUGGGGACAUGGGAGACUGCCGGGGAACGGAGGAAGGUGGGGAUGACGAAGAAUGCCCCUUAUGUAGGGCUACACAUGCUACAAUGGCAUACAGAGGGCUGCGAGACCGUGAGGUGGAGCGAACCUUAAAGUGAGAGUGGAGGGGUGCAACGACCCCGUGAAGUUGGAGGCUAGUAAGCAGAAGCAGUGCUGCGGUGAAUACGUCCGGGUUGUACAC